This 309-nucleotide ribosomal RNA is filed under the name uncultured bacterium. Its description in RNAcentral is "bacterial SSU rRNA". It matches the Rfam family "Bacterial small subunit ribosomal RNA", at positions 28 to 335 of the family's 1533-position model. The record is from RNAcentral.
GACGAACGUUGGCGGCGUGCUUAAUACAUGCAAGUCAACUGAAGCACCGGUAGUAAUACUGGUGUGGAGGUGGCGCACGGGUGAGUAACACGUAGGUAAUCUGCCUUCAGGUCUGACAUAACCCCGAGAAAUCGGGGCUAAUAGCAGAUGAUGCAGCGGCUUGACAUCAAGACAGUUGUUAAAGCUUCGGCGCCUGAAGAUGAGCCUGCGUCGAUUAGCUAGUUGGCGGAGUAACAGCCCACCAAGGCUACGAUCAGUAGCUGGUCUGAGAGGAUGAUCAGCCACACUGGAACUGAGACACGGUCCAGA